RNAcentral lists this unclassified non-coding RNA (1537 nucleotides) under Nilaparvata lugens (brown planthopper). RNAcentral describes it as "sAGA complex subunit spt3, transcript variant X3". Lineage: Eukaryota; Metazoa; Arthropoda; Insecta; Hemiptera; Delphacidae. The record is from RNAcentral.
AUAUUGCGGUGUUUGUAAAUUUUUAGUUUGUGAAAGUUAUUGAGGUUAUGUUGUCUUUCCCAGAUUUUCACGUAACUGAACUGAAAGAAAACUGUAGGUAAUUAAUCAGUUUAUUGAUUAUGGUUCUGUUUCACAGUUUCCAAGUUUAGUAGCAGCUAACUUCUCAUUCAUUGUGUUAGAUAACUCACAAUCACUCAUGAUUGAUUAGACUAGUACCGUAAUAUUAAAAUUUGAUUACUUAUCAGGCUUGCUUUUACUCUGACAGUAAACAUACACAACUUUUCAAGUUGUAGUCUACUUCCGAAGAAAAAUGGCAUCAAGAUUGAGAUCUCCAGUCAAGUCUGUAUCCAAACUGUCGGCAGAUUCUCCACUCGCAGAAGUGAAUAUGACAAUUUUUUAAAAUCAAGAUGAUCGUCGUUUUUCCGCAAAGACAAAAAGGCGAAGUUGUGGCGUGCACUGAAGAGAAUCGCACCGGACCCUUUGUCCAAAUUGAAGAAAGAUACUGAAGACUUUAUCAGUUACUUGGCUAAAGAGACAAUUGCUUUGGUGGUAGAGUACGCUCGACUUGUGCAGCAAGACAAGUCCGUGACUCCUGCAGAUCCGUUCCGUAGAGCAAGAAUGAUGGACAAAAUACCAGCAAUUACCCCAGAAGAGGUCAAAGAGGUCGCCCGUCGCUUUUUCUCCAAUCAGCUUUCGCCUUUCGGAACUGACACAAGAUCCACGACCUGCCACUUCAAUAAAAAGCUAAUGGCUUGCUAAGUCAAGUCCCACUUUAUUACCGCUUUCAGUAUUAUAUAUUAUAAAUAUUGUGUCUUUGUUACCACUUUCAGUAUUAUAUAUUAUAAACAUUGUGAUGUUAUGUUAUUGUGAAUUUUACAAUUAAGUCAAUUGAAAAAUAUUUUCGAUGAGUUCAAUUUUGAUAUUUGAUCAAUCAGAUCAUUCACUGAUAUUUUAUUGUAUAUUUUAUUGCAUUUUUUUUAAUUGGGAAAAUUACUAACAAUAUUUAUUUUUUUGUAAGUUUUCUUCAUUUCUAAUCCAUUCUAAUUUCAACUCCAGUGCCUGUUGAAUAAGAAUUUAGUUCUAUAUUUAUUUAUGAAAGAGGCUUACACAUAACUGACCUGGAUAUUAAUUGGCACAAUUUUUACAAUUUUUGGCACAUUAUUCGUCCCAAAUUCACUUACAAGACUUUUAAACUUGUAUGACACACUCCGAUUGUAUUUUGAAUGUCUCAACGUUUUUGCAGUAUAUUUUUAUUCCUUUUCUUUUAAUUCGUUCUAAUAUUCAGAUUUUCAUCAAAUUUGGUUUGCUCUUAAGCCAAAAAUUUACAAACUUGGUGGAAUACCAAGUUAAUAUUGCAUCAGAUAUACCAGUAUCAACUCUUCUCUAUAGAAGGCAUUAUCAAGGCAGAGAAUCAACAUCGCUGUUCUCCUGUCUUUCACCACUGCCAUUUUAAUGUGAACCUCUCUCAUGACGGAACAGUGGUGAAUUGAAACCCGCCAAACACAAAUCGAGUUUGUGCUAUAAUCAAGUAGCACUG